GCUGAAUGUAGUCAGUCAGCGGAUGGGAGCAGAUAUAACAUCAGCGCCACGUGAGGGAUAAAGAGGGAGAGGACGGCCAGUUGGGUCAUUACUCAGUCAUUUGCGUUUGGAAAAAAAAAGGAUAAGCGUUUCUCUUGGUUGGGUUUUUUUUUCUCCCCCUUUCUUUCUUUUUUUCUGCUUCUCUUCUAUCUUCUUGAAUUUUCCUUUGGCUCCUUUGGGUUUUUUUUUCCAUCUUCUGAGUGGACAACACCGUUGGAGUGCAUCAGAAGAUUUCAGUUCAUUUCUCCUACAUGAUAAGGAAGUUGGGAGGUGUUGAAGCUGGCGAGCCAUGCCCAUGUAAAGACUGAACUGUAUACUGUAAUGUGAAAUACUCAGAACCCUGCCUUUGCUGAUGUUGGAGUUGAGAUGGCAGUUCUUCUUAGUGUCUGCUCCUGUCUUCUGGUCAUUCUCGUCAAUCACAAUGCACAUCUCAGCCAGCAGAUGGACCUGCUUCUCAUCCAGAUUAUCCUUGUUUAUUUCUGGCAUCUUUACACCGGCUUGAGUACAGAAAGCAGCACCACACCUGUGGAAACAGAAAGCAGAGCAUUAUGACCACCUGCCUGAUAUUGUGUUGGUCCACUUUUUGCUGCCAAAACAGCCCUGACCACUCAUGCACUGUGUGUUCUGACACCUUUCUAUCAGAACCAGCAUUAACUUCUUCAGCAAUUUGAGCAACAGUAGCUCGUCUGUCGGAUAGGAUCACACCUGGUGCAUCAAUGAGCCUUGGCCAUCCAUGACCCUGUUGCCGGUUCACCACUGUUCCUUCCUUGGACCACUUUUGAUAGAUACUGACCACUGAAGACCGUUAACACUCCUCAAGAGCUGCAGUUUUGGAGAUGCUCUGAUCCACUGGUCUAGCCAUCACAAUUUGGUCUUUCGUCAAACUCGCUCAAAUCCUUACUCUUGUCCAUUUUUCCUGCUUCUAACACAUCAACCUUGAGAACAAAAUGUUCACUUGUUGCCUAAUAUGUCCCACCCACUAACAGGUGCCAUGAUGAGGAGAUCAUCAGUCUUAUUCACUUCACCUGACAGUAGUCAUAAUGUUAUGGCUGAUUGGUGUAUAUAAACACAACAAAGGACAGUUCUGUGUUAAUGUUUGUUAAUGUGUAUUAUUAUAUGUGUAUUAAUAUAUUAUAUAUAUUAAUUUUUCUUCUUCUGAACAUUAUUAUUAUUAGCAUUAGCAUUUUUUGGAGGGACAGUGAUGGUUUAAAUGGUUAAGGCUCCGUGUUGUUGAUCAGAAGUUUGGGGUUCAAGCCCGAGCAUCACCAAGAUCCACUGUUGGGCAAUUCAUCAAGGCCCUUAAUCCUCCCUGCUCCAGGGGUGCUGUAUUAUAGCUGCCCCUGCACUCUGACCCCAACUUCCUCAGCUGGGAUACACAAAGAAAAGAAUUCCACUGUAAUGUAUACAUGGCGAUAAUAAAGGCUUCGUGCCCUCAGUUCAUUUAUAUAUCAGAUGAGUAGAGGACUCACAAUAAUGUGCCAGGUAAAACACACACACACACAGGACAUAAAAUAUUAUUCAGAGUGACACAGUGACACAGUAUCACUUAAAAAGGGAAUUCAAUUUCAUAUGAAGACAUCUUUGUGGGACUGUCCUUAUGUUUUCCUCACAAGAAAUUGGAGGAUUUUUUUAAAAUUACAUUAUAAUUGUUCAGUUAUAUUACUUGAAUCUUUGAAUAUUGUUAAAAUGAAGAUUAAAUGCCUAUGUUUAGCUAUGUUAAAAACAAACAAACACAGGCUUUUAUGGCGUGUCCUAAUUUUUUCACUUGACUAUAUAUAUCCAAAACUUUUGGAACAUCUGCCUUUACAUGCACACGAACUUUAAUGACAUCCCACUCAACAUCUGUAGGGUUUAAUAUUCAGCAUACCAAGACAUUUUAGACAAUUUCAUGCUCCCAACUUUGUGGCAACAGUUUGGGGAUGACCACUUCCUGUUCCAACAUGAUGACAUGGAUGAGCGAGUUUGGUGUGGAGGGACUUGACUGGCCUGAGUCCUGACCUCAACCCCAUAAAACACCUUUGGGAUGAAUUAGAGCGGAGACUGUGAGCCAGGUCUUCUCAUCCAACAUCAGUGCCUGACCUCACAAAUGCGCUUUUAGAGGAAUGGUCAGAAAUUCCUCAUAAACACACUCCUAAACCUUGCGGAAAGCCUUCCCAAAAGAGUUGAAGCUGUUGUAGCUGCAAAGGGUGGACCAACUCCAUAUUACAUUCAUGUGCAUGUAAAGACAGACGUCCCAUCUCUAAACAUGUAGCAUUACACAACAUACAAGAAAGUUAUUACAAAUACUAUUUGAUUAAAAGAUGUUGAUAGAAAUACUGUGUGAGAGUUGUUGGUUAUUAGAAAUGUGAUUUAGUUGUUGAUCUUUAUAAUGUGUGUUAUUACCUCUGAGCAAAUGAACUACUGCUUUUGAUU
Molecule: long non-coding RNA, 2451 nt
Organism: Hemibagrus wyckioides
Lineage: Eukaryota; Metazoa; Chordata; Actinopteri; Siluriformes; Bagridae
Exons: 3
Source: RefSeq, a predicted model, not a curated record